Ailuropoda melanoleuca (giant panda) is the source of this 440-nucleotide long non-coding RNA. RefSeq lists it as uncharacterized. The transcript is spliced from 3 exons. Lineage: Eukaryota; Metazoa; Chordata; Mammalia; Carnivora; Ursidae. The record is from RefSeq and is a predicted model, not a curated record.
UCCAAGAUAGAACCGUCCUCCCAGGUAAUACCCCUUUAGGAGGUAGAGCUGGAACAGUCUGCUCUGGGAGGUACCACUGGGUAGGGGGCGUCUAUUCCGGAACAAACCAUUGUGUGGGCUGGAGAGGCCCGAAGGACUGCCAGCACCCCCGUGCAAGGGGAUUGCGCACAAGCCACCGAUGGAGGCAGGAGUGGCACUACCUUGGCCGUCCGCAGCCCCCGCUCGCUCUCCCGGUUCCUACCCAAGUCCCCGAACCUGAAUUGGAAGGUGAAAGCCAGGAAGAGUGUCUGGAAAAGACCGGGGUGAGCGUGGAGAUGGUCCUGAUGUGAAAGGGAAGACUCCAUCUAAGGUAGCACCUGCUAAGAUUCAAGAUACAGGUGAUAGGCAGUCAUAAGUUAAAAAGAAGAGAAGCUGAAGCCACGCAUACAGUUUGUUACAUG